Molecule: long non-coding RNA, 2484 nt
Organism: Danio rerio (zebrafish)
Lineage: Eukaryota; Metazoa; Chordata; Actinopteri; Cypriniformes; Danionidae
Source: Ensembl
ACAAUAAAUAAUGCAGUAUAAUCUUUCAUCUUUUUUUUUUUUAGGAUGCCACCGCUGCCUAGGUAUUGACAUUUUGCUUAUGUUUUAAUGCAUCACUCACAUCGCUCUGUUUUUUUCUUGUUUGUUUUCUUAGACUGCUGUCCACAUCUUAGUAUGCCUGUAGAGACAGAUGAAUCUAUGACAUCAUCAUCUCUCAAUCUGGCUUGGCCUGCAUGCCAGCAGUGUGAAUCACAGAACCUUACGGAGGCUGGCAGAAGUGGAGUGCCUCGUCCAGAGAUGUGUGUUCAUGAUGCAAGUAGAGUGCAUUACCUAGAUCGUGGCUAUGGGCUUCAACCUGAAGAUUUAAGGGUCAGUACGUUCAGAAAACAGUCCAUAAGUGAUUCACAUCCACCAGAAAGUCCUGCAGGCCUGCCCAGUUUCUACUUGCCUCAAAGUCCAAGACAGCACCUUCAGAUAGACCGUAGAUCCCAUAUAGAAGACCUGAGUGAACAUUUUUCAAGAGUCAACCUUCACCGUCACUGCAAUUCCACUGUGUUGUAUUCACACACCCAAAAGUCUGUGACUGAGGAUGAGGAAAGUAUUGAAAAGCCGCGUCCUCUCCGUACUGACCAGGGGGACGAUUUCUGCAGGUUUCCUUCAUCAAAAAAGGCCGGAUUUUACGGUGAGUGCCCACCAGAACGGGUUUUAUAUCACUGGCAUGGACAAUCUGCACAUUACCCACAGCCCAACUAUCCGCUGCAUCAGCCCCUACCUGGGUAUUAUGUUCAGAAUAGGCACAUAUCUAGAGAACCAGCCAUUGCGAACCCCCCUCAAGGUACAUCCGGUCAGAGCACAGCACCUAUGAGAGAGCUCAUGUCAGAAGUUUGUGUCCAGCCAUCCCAAGCAUCUGCUGUUGGCCACCCUCAAACACUAAGGCGUAACAUCAGUCUUCCUGACAUCUGCAGAGACCUAUUCAUUACAUACUCUAUGGACAUUGCAACAGAGCUGAUGCCCUUCGUGAGCUUUUUGAUCAAUCAAGGAUUCAGACCAGCUAUCGAUAUAUUUGAAGACCGAGUUAGACAAAUGGACAUCAACAAAUGGAUGGACAGUUUCUUAAAAAAUGUAUUUAUUUAUGUAUUCAUUCAUUCAUUUUCUUUUCAGCUUAACCCCUUUAUUUAUUACACGUCGCCACAGAGGAGUAAACUACUUACUAUUCUGGCAUAUGAAUCAAUUAAUUGAUUAACAAAUUAAUUAAUUAACUGAAUGAUUGAGUUAAGGUUGAACUUAGGAUCUAGGACAGGGGUGUCAAACUCAAUUCCUGGAGGGCCGAAGCCCUGCACAGUUUAGUUCCAACCCUGCUCCAACACACUUAAGGCUGAUUUAUACUUCUGCGUCAAACACCGGCGUAUGCUACGGCGCUGACGCAUAGCCCUUCGCCGUGGCCAUCGCCGUCGCUGACCUGCACCUCUCAAAAAAUACAUACAUACAUACAUACAUACAUACAUACAUACAUACAUAUAUAUAUAUUAAGGGUGUCACGAUCCUCCAAAUCCUCGAUUCGAUUACAUUUUCGAUUCUAAAGGCUCGAUUCGAUUUUAAUUUCGAUUAUGAAUAAUUAAUUAAUUAAUGACCAAUUAAUUAUUUGUAGCCUACCGUUUAAACUACCUGACCUGCAUGGUCUUUGUUUUACCCAUAAACGAAUCAUACAGUAAAUGAAUAAAGGCAAGAUACACACAUAAUUACCACCUGUCAAUCACUUUUUCUGCGGGACUCGUGAAUAGGCAGUGAUCUGUGUCGUUAUAAUGGCGUCGGUAAAAAAGACGCACAACCAACAGGAACCAGCCAACAGUAUCUGAGGUGUUCGCUAAAAUGACUAAGUACAAGUGAGUGAAAGAUUGAAGCAGUCCUCUGACUGCCUGGACCUGCUGUCUCGAGCGCAUGGCUGUGUGUGCGUCUGUGUCUGUGUGGUCACGUGAUGUGCAUUUUCAGAGGUAGAGAGGAAGGAGGGCUGCUCAGAAAUGCUACACGCCACUGUGGAUGUCAAAUCGCUGUCGUUCUAAAAUGCCGUUUAAAAACAAAGACAGUGUAAACAGGGCCUGAGUGUGAACUUUUCGCGAGCGGAUUUGCAACGGGGGCGGGCGGAGGAUCGCGAUGCUGGUGUUGUCUAUCGGACGAACCGUACGUAAUACGUACAUAGCAGAGCUUGCAAAACUGUGUUUUUUUGUCGACAACACGAACGUUGUCAACAUAACUCACUGGAAAUCCAAAAUGCUUCCACACCGGCGACUUCAUUGAAAGAGGAGAGGGUUUAAGCUCUGUCGACGGGUCUCCUGCAUCUGCAGUUUAACAAGCACUUCAACAAGCCUGUUUUUUUCCCGCUUGGAAAGCCAAGCUGAUGUGACAUGGGGGCGUGGCAGCAUCGACGAUUCUAUUUUUUUAUUCGAUAAUCGAAAUUGAGCAUAAAUUUCGAUCGAUUUCGAUUAAAAAUCGAAAUCAUGACAGCCC